ACGUAGGUAACCUGCCCUCAGGAUUGGGAUACUCCCGAGAAAUCGGGCUCAAUACCGGAUAUGAUUCCAGGGUGAAAUGCCCAGGGAUAAAAGCCAUGGGCAAUCAUGGUACCUGAGGAGGGACCUGCGGCCUAUCAGCUUGUUGGUGAGGUAACGGCUCACCAAGGCCAAGACGGGUAGCCGGACUGAGAGGUCGAUCGGUCACACUGGAACUGAGACACGGUCCAGACUCCUACGGGAGGCAGCAGUGGGGAAUUUUGCGCAAUGGGCGAAAGCCUGACGCAGCGACGCCGCGUGGGG
Molecule: ribosomal RNA, 300 nt
Filed under: uncultured Nitrospiraceae bacterium
Lineage: Bacteria; Pseudomonadati; Nitrospirota; Nitrospiria; Nitrospirales; Nitrospiraceae
Description: bacterial SSU rRNA
Rfam family: Bacterial small subunit ribosomal RNA
Source: RNAcentral